GCGACUGGCGACGUGCUUACCAUGCAGUCGAACGAUGAACCCGAAGCUUGCUUUGGGGGAUUAGUGGCGAACGGGUGAGUAACACGUGAGCAACCUGCCCCUCACUCUGGGAUAAGCGCUGGAAACGGCGUCUAAUACUGGAUACGAGACGCGACCGCAUGGUCAGUGUCUGGAAAGAUUUUUUGGUGGGGGAUGGGCUCGCGGCCUAUCAGCUUGUUGGUGAGGUAAUGGCUCACCAAGGCGUCGACGGGUAGCCGGCCUGAGAGGGUGACCGGCCACACUGGGACUGAGACACGGCCCAGACUCCUACGGGAGGCAGCAGUGGGGAAUAUUGCACAAUGGGCGGAAGCCUGAUGCAGCAACGCCGCGUGAGGGAUGACGGCCUUCGGGUUGUAAACCUCUUUUAGCAGGGAAGAAGCGAAAGUGACGGUACCUGCAGAAAAAGCACCGGCUAACUACGUGCCAGCAGCGGCGGUAAUACUG
Molecule: ribosomal RNA, 483 nt
Filed under: Microbacterium sp. TW15C
Lineage: Bacteria; Bacillati; Actinomycetota; Actinomycetes; Micrococcales; Microbacteriaceae
Description: bacterial SSU rRNA
Rfam family: Bacterial small subunit ribosomal RNA
Source: RNAcentral